UAGGUUUUGUUUUAAUAUAAUUCAGUCAAUUUUUGAAGAGAUAUGUCGAGCCAACAAAUAGAUUGAAUGGAGGAGCAGAAUGGUUAGCAGAGGUACCGGAGCCGAGCCUAUUCAGCCACUUUGGUGUAUUAGGAAUCCUGAUGACUUAUUGUAUUGUUGGGAGAGAUUGUAGUUGGCAACCAUAUAUGACAUUACUUCUAUAGACAAUAACUCUGCUCCUACCCCUAUUGAUCAAAACUGGGUUCCUCCUCCGGGUGGUGCUUCAAUGUAACAGUCUCAAGAUCAAAUGUGUACAUUUGGGUAUUCAAGUUAUGGUUUCCGGAUGUUAGCAUUUAUAAUAUCCUCAUAUGAAAAGGAUCCAGAUUUUCAAAUUAGCAUUUAUAUUUUCAUUUGCAAUUCAGAAGUAUUAUUUUCCUGUUUUGAGUUUUAAUUAUUGUUUAUUGGUUUAUUUAUAUUUGCUGUUGGUGGUGCAACUUGGAAAAUAAUAUAGGGAUCUAAAGUUAAUCCUGAGGACACCUAUUUUGCUGAACCUACUUUUACUUUGGAGCUUCCCCUUUUAGUUGUUGUAUUACUUGUGUUUAACUCCUUACAAAAAGAGGGUAAUAUUUCAUAGUGGAAUUUGAACAAUCCGCUAUUGUUUUGCGAUACGCUAAUUAGUACAGAGUGUUGUCAAAUAACAACUAAAGUGGCGCCAUAGCACUCUCGCACAGCUCAACUUUAGCAAUCCUGUAUUUUCUGCUAUUCACGAUUGACAACAUUGAUGAGAUAUCUUUCAUGGUUUUUGUAGGUAUGUGAUGAACUCGAGGAUGAUAUGGAAGAGGAAGGGAACAUCGUACACUAUCAUGGCUGUGAUUUUUUUCCCGAGCGAUGGUUUAAUUAUGUGGUUGUACUUCAAACUGAUAACACCAUUUUGUAUGACUAUUUGACCAAAAGAGGGUACAACGAAUCGAAGCAUUUCGUGGCACGCUUAUUCAGUCGUAUCCUGUGGUUUGCCAUAUUCAGUUGUUCAAUAUCAUCAAUUAUGCUGACUUUUUCUUUUUCUUUUUCCUCUAUUAUUUUUUCAGCAAUGGAGUUAGCUUUGUCUUUGGAGAAGUUAUCAAAUGAGAAACUUCUCAAUGUGCAUAGUGUGGCACGCAACAAUGACAUUGAAAUUACACACUUCAUCGAAGGCGAAUAUUUGAACGAACAGGGUUCGAAUGCAAUAAGAAGUGACGAAUCGAAUUUGAAGACUGAAUAAUGUAUUAUUCUUGUCAGCCUUAUAGCUACAAGGCUCGUACAUAAUCAUUAGGAGCUGAAUAGACACUAUGAUGGAAAAUUGAUACUCUAGGCUACCGAUAAUCCACAGUUAAUAAAUGAAGAGGAUGGAGGAAUACACAAGCGACAUGCUUCACCUUCCAUUCGUGAUAGAGGUACACUAAUGUCUUUACCCAGUCAAGCCUCUACUUCGUCUAAUCCACCUGGUUAUGGAACAUCUGCAAUUGUUGCCAUGGAUAGAAGUUCAAGUUUAUCAUCAGGGACAUCUGUGUCAUCUGGUGUACUUAUAUAUAUGAAGUAUGAUUUAUAAUUAACCACUUCUAGGGAUGAUGAUCUGUUUGUAGUGUUUAUAACAAGUCUUUGUCACUCAAGUUUUUAUAUUUAGUUUUGGUUCAGGUUUAUUAGAUAUAUAAUGUACUUAGUCAAUCAUAUACUGAUGCUAUUGUCAUUGAUGUGUAGACAGUAAAAUAAUUUGUAUUCAUAAAAUUAUAGUAAUCAAAUUUUAAAUUCUUUAAAAUUGGCGCAAGUGAUUGGUGUGU
Vicia villosa (hairy vetch) is the source of this 1793-nucleotide long non-coding RNA. RefSeq lists it as uncharacterized. The transcript has 7 exons. Lineage: Eukaryota; Viridiplantae; Streptophyta; Magnoliopsida; Fabales; Fabaceae. The record is from RefSeq and is a predicted model, not a curated record.